GUCCAGGGUAGCCUAGUGGUCAUCUGCCCGGUAAGCGGAAGGUCGUGGGUUCGAUUCCCAUCCCUUGACA
This 70-nucleotide transfer RNA is filed under the name Cordylochernes scorpioides. RNAcentral's name for it is "tRNA-Thr". It matches the Rfam family "tRNA". Rfam says of the family: Transfer RNA (tRNA) molecules are approximately 80 nucleotides in length. Their secondary structure includes four short double-helical elements and three loops (D, anti-codon, and T loops). Further hydrogen bonds mediate the characteristic L-shaped molecular structure. tRNAs have two regions of fundamental functional importance: the anti-codon, which is responsible for specific mRNA codon recognition, and the 3' end, to which the tRNAs corresponding amino acid is attached (by aminoacyl-tRNA synthetases). tRNAs cope with the degeneracy of the genetic code in two manners: having more than one tRNA (with a specific anti-codon) for a particular amino acid; and 'wobble' base-pairing, i.e. permitting non-standard base-pairing at the 3rd anti-codon position. Lineage: Eukaryota; Metazoa; Arthropoda; Arachnida; Pseudoscorpiones; Chernetidae. The record is from RNAcentral.